Molecule: ribosomal RNA, 459 nt
Filed under: uncultured Streptococcus sp.
Lineage: Bacteria; Bacillati; Bacillota; Bacilli; Lactobacillales; Streptococcaceae
Description: partial 16S ribosomal RNA
Rfam family: Bacterial small subunit ribosomal RNA
Source: RNAcentral
ACGGAAGGCAGCAGUAGGGAAUCUUCGGCAAUGGGGGCAACCCUGACCGAGCAACGCCGCGUGAGUGAAGAAGGUUUUCGGAUCGUAAAGCUCUGUUGUAAGAGCAGAACGUGUGUGAGAGUGGAAAGUUCACACAGUGACGGUAACUUACCAGAAAGGGACGGCUAACAAAGUGCAAGCAGACGCGGUAAUACGUAGGUCCCGAGCGUUGUCCGGAUUUAUUGGGCGUAAAGCGAGCGCAGGCGGUUUAAUAAGUCUGAAGUUAAAGGCAGUGGCUUAACCAUUGUUCGCUUUGGAAACUGUUAGCCUUGAGUGCAUAAGCGGAGAGUGGAAUUCCAUGUGUAGCGGUGAAAUGCGUAGAUAUAUGGAGGAACACCGGUGGCGAAAGCGGCUCUCUGGUCUGUAACUGACGCUGAGGCUCGAAAGCGUGGGGAGCAAACAGGAUUAGAUACCCUGGUA